This 112-nucleotide ribosomal RNA is filed under the name Flavobacteriales bacterium. Lineage: Bacteria; Pseudomonadati; Bacteroidota; Flavobacteriia; Flavobacteriales. The record is from RNAcentral.
UAUGGUGACUAUUGCGAUGGGGAUCACCUCUUCCCAUUCCGAACAGAGAAGUUAAGCCCAUUAGCGCAGAUGGUACUAGGGUAACACCUGGGAGAGUAUGUCGUCGCCAAUU